UCCACUCUCAGUUGGGAUUAACAGCUCCUA
This 30-nucleotide non-coding RNA is filed under the name Mus musculus (house mouse). Lineage: Eukaryota; Metazoa; Chordata; Mammalia; Rodentia; Muridae. The record is from RNAcentral.